Molecule: ribosomal RNA, 252 nt
Filed under: uncultured prokaryote
Description: partial 16S ribosomal RNA
Rfam family: Bacterial small subunit ribosomal RNA
Source: RNAcentral
UACGGAGGGUGCAAGCGUUGUUCGGAAUCACUGGGCGUAAAGGGCGUGUAGGCGGUCCGCUAAGUCUGAUGUGAAAGCCCGGGGCUCACCCCCGGAAGGGCAUUGGAAACUGGCGGACUCGAGUCCCGGAGAGGAAGGUGGAAUUCCUGGUGUAGCGGUGAAAUGCGUAGAUAUCAGGAGGAAUACCGGUGGCGAAGGCGGCCUUCUGGACGGUGACUGACGCUGAGACGCGAAAGCGUGGGGAGCAAACAG